Sarcophilus harrisii (Tasmanian devil) is the source of this 1553-nucleotide long non-coding RNA. Lineage: Eukaryota; Metazoa; Chordata; Mammalia; Dasyuromorphia; Dasyuridae. The record is from Ensembl.
AUGGCAGUUUUUGAUACCCGUCCUCCCCGUGUAGUGUGGACGCUGACGGCCAGUGAGUUGGGGCUUGUGGCAGCAAGUCCUGUCGGGGCUUCCAGGAUGAGACGGGAGGGGCUGCUUUCUAGUGGUCCCGGAGCCCUCGGCGCGGCCGCAGCCUGGAGCUGCUUUUGCCCGCACGUUCCCCAAAGCCGCCCGGGGAGUGCCUCUUGCGGAGCUGCAGUGUCUUCUUUGGGAGGUGCUUUCAUUGGGGCUGCAGUGCUUUCUGCGGGGCUGCAGUGCUUUCAUUGGGGGUGCUUUCUGCGGGGCUCCAGUGCCUUCUGCGGGGCUGCAGUGCCUUUUUGGGGAGUGCUUUCUGCGGGGCUGCAGUGCUUUCAUUGGGGGGUGCUUUCAUUGGGGCUCCAGUGCUUUCUGCGGGGCUGCAGUGCCUUUUUGGGGAGUGCUUUCUGCGGGGCUGCAGUGCUUUCAUUGGGGGGUGCUUUCUGCGGGGCUGCAGUGCUUUCAUUGGGGGUGCUUUCUGCGGUGCUCCAGUGCCUUCUGCGGGGCUGCAGUGCCUUUUUGGGGGGUGCUUUCUGCGGGGCUGCAGUGCCCUUGGUCGGAGCCCCCCGAGGACACAACCCCCUUUCCCGUCAGCCCCCCCCCCCCCGCUUGCCUUGGGGCCGCGCUGCACCCCCGGGGGCCCGAGAGCGCCCGGCGCCCCCCUGGGAGUUCUCCCCAGGCUUGGCUGCCUCGGCUCCCGUGGUCGAGGUCCGGAAAGGGUCCCUCCCAAGGGAAGCCGCUCCGUUGCCUGGAAACGGGCCGCCUUAGAGCUUGGGUCCCUUCUGCGAGGCGAGGUCUCCUGGCUAACAAGGGCCCCACCUAGGACGGAAGGCUCCGAAGGCGUUUCGCGCCGGUCCCUCCGUUUUGCCGCAGCUGCGCGGGCAGCGGGCACUUCUCCUUAGCGGUGUGAGUGAGGUCCUGCCGAGAAACGCCCCUGCCUCUAACUCCGCCCGCGGCUCCCGGGGGCUUGUGACGGACCCGGGCUGGGUCGGGAGCGGGGCCACGGGGCGUCUCCUUCCGGACGCCCGCAGCUGCCGGGGCACCUCCCCGCCCCCCGGCUCCUCCCUCACCCACUAGUGGCGGGUUAGAGCGCGAGCUCCCGCGCAGAGGCCGCCUAACGUCCGGCCUCGUGCACACAGCAGGCGCGCGCUAAGUGCUUUGUUAAAAACCCUUUUUUAGGCGGGGCCGAGCCCGGGGGCGGGCGGGGCCGAGGGGGCGGGCGGGGCUUUCUUGGCCGAGCCCGGCAUCAGACUCUUGCCGGCCGCUUGUGAUCCUGGGAAAGUCACUUCACCCGAGCCUCAGUUCGCCCUUCUAUGGAAGUGGGCUCGUCGCUUCUCCGCAGGGUGACUGUGGGGGCUGAAGCCCAGCCCGCGCCGCGUAAAUCCCUCACCGCCCCCGCGCCCCCGCCCGCCACUGGGCCCGCCAACGGGGCCGACUUCGCCAGCACCUCGCCCGAACCCCACCGGCCCGGUCCGGGUCGGGACGUCGCGGGGCUCGGCUCCGCCGGCUGGGGCAGCGGC